This 253-nucleotide ribosomal RNA is filed under the name uncultured bacterium. RNAcentral's name for it is "partial 16S ribosomal RNA". It matches the Rfam family "Bacterial small subunit ribosomal RNA", at positions 524 to 776 of the family's 1533-position model. The record is from RNAcentral.
UACAGAGGUCCCAAGCGUUGUUCGGAUUCACUGGGCGUAAAGGGUGCGUAGGUGGUGAGGUAAGUCGGAUGUGAAAGCUCGGAGCUCAACUCCGAAAUGGCAUUGGAAACUACCUUGCUCGAGGGUUGGAGGGGGGACUGGAAUACUUGGUGUAGCAGUGAAAUGCGUAGAUAUCAAGUGGAACACCAGUGGCGAAGGCGAGUCCCUGGCCCGAUACUGACGCUGAGGCACGAAAGCGUGGGGAGCGAUCCGG